RNAcentral lists this microRNA (21 nucleotides) under Arabidopsis thaliana (thale cress). RNAcentral's name for it is "ath-miR159c". Its record names the gene ath-miR159c. The record is from miRBase by way of RNAcentral. RNAcentral also lists the same sequence under 3 other names. Lineage: Eukaryota; Viridiplantae; Streptophyta; Magnoliopsida; Brassicales; Brassicaceae.
UUUGGAUUGAAGGGAGCUCCU